CGUAGGGGGCAAGCGUUGUCCGGAUUUACUGGGCGUAAAGAGCGCGUAGGCGGAACGUUAAGUCCGAUCUGAAAGCCCCCGGCUCAACCGGGGAGGGUGGUUGGAAACUGGCGUUCUUGAGGGCGAUAGAGGAAGGUGGAAUUCCUGGUGUAGCGGUGAAAUGCGUAGAGAUCAGGAGGAACACCAGUGGCGAAGGCGGCCUUCUGGGUCGACCCUGACGCUGAGGCGCGAAAGCGUGGGGAGCGAACGGGAUUAGAUACCCCGGUAGUCCACGCCGUAAACGAUGGUCACUAGGUGUGUGCGGUAUCGACCCCGCACGUGCCGGAGCUAACGCAAUAAGUGACCCGCCUGGGGAGUACGGCCGCAAGGUUG
RNAcentral lists this ribosomal RNA (372 nucleotides) under uncultured organism. RNAcentral describes it as "bacterial SSU rRNA". It matches the Rfam family "Bacterial small subunit ribosomal RNA", at positions 526 to 896 of the family's 1533-position model. The record is from RNAcentral.